This 765-nucleotide ribosomal RNA is filed under the name uncultured bacterium. RNAcentral's name for it is "bacterial SSU rRNA". It matches the Rfam family "Bacterial small subunit ribosomal RNA", at positions 53 to 827 of the family's 1533-position model. The record is from RNAcentral.
ACAUGCAAGUCGAACGAACUUAACCAUUAGUUUACUAUUGGAGCGGUUAGUGGCGGACUGGUGAGUAACACGUAAGCAACCUGCCUAUCAGAGGGGAACAACAGUUAGAAAUGACUGCUAAUACCGCAUAUGCCUUAGAAUCACAUGGUUCAAAAGGGAAAGGAACAAUCCGCUGAUAGAUGGGCUUGCGUCUGAUUAGCUAGUUGGUGGGGUAACGGCCUACCAAGGCGACGAUCAGUAGCCGAACUGAGAGGUUGAACGGCCACAUUGGGACUGAGAUACGGCCCAGACUCCUACGGGAGGCAGCAGUCGGGAAUAUUGCGCAAUGGAGGAAACUCUGACGCAGUGACGCCGCGUGCAGGAAGAAGGUUUUCGGAUUGUAAACUGCUUUAGACAGGGAAGAAAAAAGACAGUACCUGUAGAAUAAGCUCCGGCUAACUACGUGCCAGCAGCCGCGGUAAUACGUAGGGAGCAAGCGUUAUCCGGAUUUAUUGGGUGUAAAGGGUGCGUAGACGGGAAGUCAAGUUAGUUGUGAAAUCCCUCGGCUUAACUGAGGAACUGCAACUAAAACUGAUUUUCUUGAGUACUGGAGAGGAAAGUGGAAUUCCUAGUGUAGCGGUGAAAUGCGUAGAUAUUAGGAGGAACACCGGUGGCGAAGGCGACUUUCUGGACAGAAACUGACGUUGAGGCACGAAAGUGUGGGGAGCAAACAGGAUUAGAUACCCUGGUAGUCCACACCGUAAACGAUGGAUACUAGGUGUAGGG